GUUCUGUUGGUUUUUGGAAUACAGGAUAAUGAUUAAGAGGGACAGACGGGGGCAUUCGUAUUGCGGCGCUAGAGGUGAAAUUCUUGGACCGUCGCAAGACGAACUACUGCGAAAGCAUUUGCCAAGAAUGUUUUCAUUGAUCAAGAACGAAAGUUAGAGGUUCGAAGGCGAUCAGAUACCGCCCUAGUUCUAACCAUAAACGAUGCCAACCAGCGAUCCGCCUGAGUUACUCAAAUGACUCGGCGGGCAGCUUCCGGGAAACCAAAGUAUUUGGGUUCCGGGGGAAGUAUGGUUGCAAAGCUGAAACUUAAAGGAAUUGACGGAAGGGCACCACCAGGAGUGGAGCCUGCGGCUUAAUUUGACUCAACACGGGAAAACUUACCCGGCCCGGACACUGGGAGGAUUGACAGAUUGAGAGCUCUUUCUUGAUUCGGUGGAUGGUGGUGCAUGGCCGUUCUUAGUUGGUGGAGCGAUUUGUCUGGUUAAUUCCGAUAACGAACGAGACUCUAGCCUAUUAAAUAGGUGCGUGGUUCUCUGCACCUUGCACCCUUCUUAGAGGGACAAGCGGCUCCUAGCCGCACGAAACAGAGCAAUAACAGGUCUGUGAUGCCCUUAGAUGUCCGGGGCCGCACGCGCGCUACACUGAAGGAAGCAGCGUGUUUUUAUCCCUGUCUGUAAAGACUGGGUAACCCGUGGAACCUCCUUCGUGAUUGGGAUAGGGGCUUGCAAUUGUUCCCCUUGAACGAGGAAUUCCCAGUAAGCGCGAGUCAUAAGCUCGCGUUGAUUACGUCCCUGCCCUUUGUACACACCGCCCGUCGCUACUACCGAUUGAAUGAUUUAGUGAGGUCUUCGGACCGAUACCCGGAGCGGCCUUUCGGUUGCGCCGGUGUGUUGGAAAGAUGACCAAACUUGAUCAUUUAGAGGAAGUAAAAGUCGUAACAAGGUUUCCGUAGUGAACCUGCGGAAG
This 967-nucleotide ribosomal RNA is filed under the name Ixodes scapularis (black-legged tick). RNAcentral's name for it is "SSU rRNA". It matches the Rfam family "Eukaryotic small subunit ribosomal RNA", at positions 838 to 1823 of the family's 1831-position model. Lineage: Eukaryota; Metazoa; Arthropoda; Arachnida; Ixodida; Ixodidae. The record is from RNAcentral.